RNAcentral lists this ribosomal RNA (253 nucleotides) under uncultured bacterium. RNAcentral describes it as "partial 16S ribosomal RNA". It matches the Rfam family "Bacterial small subunit ribosomal RNA", at positions 524 to 776 of the family's 1533-position model. The record is from RNAcentral.
UACGUAGGGUGCGAGCGUUGUCCGGAAUUACUGGGCGUAAAGAGCUCGUAGGUGGUUUGUCGCGUUGUCCGUGAAAACUCACAGCUCAACUGUGGGCGUGCGGGCGAUACGGGCAGACUGGAGUACUGCAGGGGAGACUGGAAUUCCUGGUGUAGCGGUGGAAUGCGCAGAUAUCAGGAGGAACACCGGUGGCGAAGGCGGGUCUCUGGGUAGUAACUGACGCUGAGGAACGAAAGCGUGGGUAGCGAACAGG